Lontra canadensis (Northern American river otter) is the source of this 104-nucleotide small nuclear RNA. The record is from RefSeq and is a predicted model, not a curated record. Lineage: Eukaryota; Metazoa; Chordata; Mammalia; Carnivora; Mustelidae.
GAGCUCACUUUGGCAGCAUGUAUACUAAAACUGGAAUACUGGGAAGAUUAGCAUGGCCCCUGUGCAAGGAUGACCCACAAAUUCGUAAAGAGUUUCAUAACAAA